This 255-nucleotide ribosomal RNA is filed under the name uncultured bacterium. RNAcentral's name for it is "partial 16S ribosomal RNA". It matches the Rfam family "Bacterial small subunit ribosomal RNA", at positions 524 to 776 of the family's 1533-position model. The record is from RNAcentral.
UACGUAGGGGGCAAGCGUUGUCCGGAUUUAUUGGGCGUAAAGAGCGUGUAGGCGGUCAGGUAGGUCCGUUGUGAAAACUCGAGGCUCAACCUCGAGACGCCGAUGGAAACCAUCUGACUAGAGUCCGGAAGAGGAGAGUGGAAUUCCUGGUGGUAGCGGUGAAAUGCGCAGAUAUCAGGAAGAACACCCGUGGCUAAGGCGGCUCUCUAGUACGGUACUGACGCUGAGACGCGAAAAGCGUGGGGAGCGAACAGG